This 642-nucleotide ribosomal RNA is filed under the name Flavonuncia sp. Mad9c. RNAcentral's name for it is "SSU rRNA". It matches the Rfam family "Eukaryotic small subunit ribosomal RNA", at positions 1144 to 1804 of the family's 1831-position model. The record is from RNAcentral. Lineage: Eukaryota; Metazoa; Arthropoda; Arachnida; Opiliones; Triaenonychidae.
UUAAAGGAAUUGACGGAAGGGCACCACCAGGAGUGGAGCCUGCGGCUUAAUUUGACUCAACACGGGAAAACUUACCCGGCCCGGACACCGGAAGGAUUGACAGAUUAAGAGCUCUUUCUUGAUUCGGUGGGUGGUGGUGCAUGGCCGUUCUUAGUUGGUGGAGCGAUUUGUCUGGUUAAUUCCGAUAACGAACGAGACUCUAGCCUACUUAAUAGAGAACCGAUUUCCUCUCGUCGGUUACUCUUCUUAGAGGGACAAGCGGCGUUUAGCCGCACGAGACAGAGCAAUAACAGGUCUGUGAUGCCCUUAGAUGUCCGGGGCCGCACGCGCGCUACACUGAAGGAAUCAGCGUGUGUUCACCCUGGCCGAAAGGUCUGGGUAACCCGUUGAACCUCCUUCGUGAUAGGGAUAGGGGCUUGUAACUAUUCCCCUUGAACGAGGAAUUCCCAGUAAGCGCGAGUCAUAAGCUCGCGUUGAUUACGUCCCUGCCCUUUGUACACACCGCCCGUCGCUACUACCGAUUGAAUGAUUUAGUGAGGUCUUCGGACUGGUGCUCGGAGCGGCUCUCGGGUCGCGCCGGCGUACCGGAAAGAUGACCAAACUUGAUCAUUUAGAGGAAGUAAAAGUCGUAACAAGGUUUCC